GACGAACGCUGGCGGCGUGCCUAAUACAUGCAAGUCGAGCGGAACUGGGGGAGCUUGCUCCUUCCAGUUUAGCGGCGGACGGGUGAGUAACACGUGGGCAACCUGCCCUGCAGAUCGGGAUAACUCCGGGAAACCGGUGCUAAUACCGAAUAGCUUGGCGCCUCUCCUGAGGCCUUACGGAAAGACGGUUUCGGCUGUACCUGCAGGAUGGGCCCGCGGGGCAUUAGCUAGUUGGUGGGGUAACGGCCCACCAAGGGGACGAUGCGUAGCCGACCUGAGAGGGUGACCGGCCACGCUGGGACUGAGACACGGCCCAGACUCCUACGGGAGGCAGCAGUAGGGAAUCUUCCGCAAUGGACGCAAGUCUGACGGAGCAACGCCGCGUGAGUGACGAAGGUUUUCGGAUCGUAAAACUCUGUUGUGAGGGAAGAACACGUACCAACUAACUAUUGGUACCUUGACGGUACCUCACCAGAAAGCCACGGCUAACUACGUGCCAGCCGCCGCCGUAA
RNAcentral lists this ribosomal RNA (512 nucleotides) under uncultured bacterium. Its description in RNAcentral is "partial 16S ribosomal RNA". It matches the Rfam family "Bacterial small subunit ribosomal RNA", at positions 28 to 523 of the family's 1533-position model. The record is from RNAcentral.